UUUUAAACUGAAGUCAGGGAAUCGGCUUAUAUUCGAGUAUAUACGGGAUAAUAUUUAACUUGUAUGGAUCAUUUUCAAUUAGCUUCAUUCUCUAAUACAUUGUCUCCAAACUUUUUCAAUCUCUUAAUCUCUUAUCACUUAAAAAUACAAAAGGUAUUCCAUGCAACAGACAUGAAAUAUGGUAAGCAAAUAUAAUUUAUGUGAAAUAUCACGAUGACAUAUGAUGAACAAACAUACAGACAAAUUUAAUCUGUGUACAUUUUUAUUUUGGAAUGGGAAAAGAUCAAAGAAAAGCAGAUUUGAAAAAAGUAAUCAUCAUCAUUCCAAACAUCUCCAUCAUUUUGAAAUGAUUAAAGGCGUGGUUGUAAUGUUUGUCAUCAGUCUAGAGGAGGAUAAGAUUAAAAAUUUGAUAGUCCAAUUUUGGAUCCUUAUUUGAUAAUCCAACCGAGUCAAGAUCAUCAUCUAAUAGAGGAAACAUGAAAAGUUUUGAACCACCACCAUUUUUAAACGAAUUUGGAUUAUCUUCAACAGAAUGUUCCUACACAAUUAUAUAAAAUUUAGGUUAAGACAGAAAACUUGCUUCUGUAUCAAUCUUGAAAAAACAUAAGGCACUAAACAAGCAAGCAAGGUUUUGUUCUGCAUAAAACGUUUUCGGACUUUCGUGGGGGUCCC
RNAcentral lists this long non-coding RNA (672 nucleotides) under Androctonus crassicauda. The record is from RNAcentral. Lineage: Eukaryota; Metazoa; Arthropoda; Arachnida; Scorpiones; Buthidae.